RNAcentral lists this ribosomal RNA (330 nucleotides) under uncultured bacterium. RNAcentral describes it as "bacterial SSU rRNA". It matches the Rfam family "Bacterial small subunit ribosomal RNA", at positions 30 to 355 of the family's 1533-position model. The record is from RNAcentral.
AUUGAACGCUGGCGGCAUGCCUUACACAUGCAAGUCGAACGGCAGCACGGGAGCAAUCCUGGUGGCGAGUGGCGAACGGGUGAGUAAUAUAUCGGAACGUGCCCAGUCGUGGGGAGUAACGUAGCGAAAGACUACGCUAAUACCGCAUACGAUCUAUGGAUGAAAGACGGGGGAGUCGCAAGACCUCGCGCGAUUGGAGCGGCCGAUAUCAGAUUAGGUAGUUGGUGAGGUAAAGGACUCACCAAGCCGACGAUCUGUAGCUGGUCUGAGAGGACGACCAGCCACACUGGGACUGAGACACGGCCCAGACUCCUACGGGAGGCGAGCAGU